Molecule: long non-coding RNA, 544 nt
Organism: Pangasianodon hypophthalmus (striped catfish)
Lineage: Eukaryota; Metazoa; Chordata; Actinopteri; Siluriformes; Pangasiidae
Exons: 2
Source: RefSeq, a predicted model, not a curated record
UGUACGACGGCUUCAUUACAAUGUAUCACUGUGGUGGACUUUCGGUGGAGGAACCAAACUCAUCAUCACCGGUCCCGCGGUGAAGCCCUCCGUGUCUCUGCUCCCUCCCUCCUCUCUGCAGCUGUCUGAGGGAUCGGCCUCGCUGCUCUGCCUGCUGUCUGCCUACUCUCCACAGGGGGCGCUGGUGAGCUGGACAGUGGACGGCUCCCAGGUGAAGGACGGGGUUCUGACCAGCGCAGAAGAACAGAAGAAGGACGGUUACACACGCAGCAGCACCCUGACCCUCAGCAAAGCACUCUGGGAAAAGGGGGAGGAGUUUGUCUGUACGGUCUCCCAUGCCGGCGUCAAUCAUCCGGUCACGUUCAGAAAGAGCCAGUGUGAAGCCUAACAGCUCCAAGAUACAAUUUAACACUGAGCUGCUUACACAUCCAUCUACAAUAGAGUUUCAGUUCUACACAAUGCUGACAUUUCUGUCUUUACUCUCUUCACUGUCCUGUUGCUCUUCCUGUAGUUUUGCUCUGCUGAAAUAAAGCUUCAUUUUGGA